This is a long non-coding RNA of Daphnia pulex (common water flea), 751 nucleotides long. RefSeq lists it as uncharacterized. The transcript is spliced from 2 exons. The record is from RefSeq and is a predicted model, not a curated record. Lineage: Eukaryota; Metazoa; Arthropoda; Branchiopoda; Diplostraca; Daphniidae.
GGGAGAUUGGCCCUCAACUUUGUAUAGUCAAGUGCAACGACCAAGCCCAGCAAGAGAUGGUUCGCUUUCGUGGCUACCGGGAGCUGACUUACCUCCUUAAACGCACCAAGGCUUGGCUCAACGACCAGAUCCUGGUCGGAUUCGAACAGCACGACAACAAGGCCAGAAACGAAGCUUGCACUUUGAGAGAGCCCCAUCAUUUCGCCGCCGUGGCCGCCCAGCGUGUAUUAUUCGUCAGCAAGAAGCCGGCCGUCGGAGAGGUCUUCGAGAUCAGUCUCGGCGACAACACCCAGCACCAGGCGCCCAGUUUGGAGCUGGUCAGUAUAAACGGCCCUCAAGUUGUGGCUUUAAAGCGUCGAAGCCGAGCGUCGCGUCACCAAUGAAAUUGGAGUUCAUUCUACAUCUUACCAGAGGGCCUUCAGGUGCAGUCUCUUGUCUUCCAUCGUGAUGGUAUGGUCAGUUUUCCAGGUAUGUGUGUGUUGGAGCUACUUCAAGGAAGGCAAACAACACCAUUAUUCCUUUCAAAUAUUAUAGUUUAUUUCGAGCCUCAUAAGUUCAGAUACUUGAUUGAUUACUUACAGUGGUAGAUACCAUGCCUGGAAUUCCCUAAUUAGAAAAGGGUAACUUGCAACAUGCAAAGAAUCCUUUUUUCAUUUGCCUUUUUCUACCAAGUCAUCCUUUGAGCUAGAUAACUAGAAAUCGAUCCUUUUCCAGUUUUAACUUGAGUCAAAAAAAUAUUCGGUACAAUUUC